AGGUUCCAAUCCGCCGGAUUCCUUCCUCCCGCCGGCGAACUACCGCACGGCCUACGUCGGGCGGAUCGGUUCCGAUGCGGUCGUAGCGAUGAGGAAGUCCUUCGCCAGCGGCGAGGGGGGAAUGAGGCUACGACGGCUACUGGCGGUGCCUGCAGCGAAGAAGAAAUCUCUGAGAGGACUGGAAAGCGCGAUGCUGGAGCCGCCGAUGCAGCGGGAGUGGGCGCGGAGGGCGAGGUACCUGCCUCAGCUAACGGGGGACGAGCUGGACGGGUACCCGCGGCGGGUGUUCGUAGAGGUGGCGGCAAAGGGGGACGCAGGCAGCGGCACGGCGUGGUUCGAGCGGAACUACCCCCGGAAGGGGCGCGCCUUCGAGGAGAUCCGGGUGGA
RNAcentral lists this long non-coding RNA (387 nucleotides) under Musa acuminata (dwarf banana). RNAcentral describes it as "long non-coding RNA (MACU_LNC000214)". The record is from RNAcentral. Lineage: Eukaryota; Viridiplantae; Streptophyta; Magnoliopsida; Zingiberales; Musaceae.